CGGACAAGUGUUUUCAGCAGGCAUUCAAUGACACCAUGUGACUGUGUUAGUGACUCCAACCACAGGAGGCUCAUCUCCAUCUCUUUUGUCCUCUGUUCAGAGCUGCCCAGAAAUCCUUUAUCAGGAUUCGGCAUCCUCCAAUAGAGCCAUCCACAGUUGGAAUGGUCUACUCUGAUAGGUGGUGACCUCCCUGUCACUGGAGGCAUGCAAGCAUAGUCUGGGGAACCUGCAGGUUGUUAGAGGCCGGAGAGUCCAAGCAGCAAAUGCAAAAAGUCAAAUGGCUCAUUUGCAUGGUCACUUCCAGCUCGGAGCCUGGCUCAUCGUUGGUACGCAAAAAUAUUUAUCAAAUCAGCACUCAAGGGAUUGAGCUACUCGACCAGCAACCCAGUCACUCCCAGGCCAGGCCCACGACCUAACAGGCAAGCCAUUUCCUCCUCCUUCAACUGGCGGUGAGUCCGUCUUCCCUCCUCACUUCUUGGGGCUGUUC
Molecule: long non-coding RNA, 487 nt
Filed under: Homo sapiens (human)
Lineage: Eukaryota; Metazoa; Chordata; Mammalia; Primates; Hominidae
Description: non-protein coding lnc-NBAS-9:1
Source: RNAcentral